RNAcentral lists this ribosomal RNA (460 nucleotides) under uncultured bacterium. Its description in RNAcentral is "partial 16S ribosomal RNA". It matches the Rfam family "Bacterial small subunit ribosomal RNA", at positions 338 to 795 of the family's 1533-position model. The record is from RNAcentral.
CCUACGGGAGUCAGCAGUGAGGAAUAUUGGUCAAUGGACGGAAGUCUGAACCAGCCAUGCCGCGUGCAGGAAGACGGCUCUAUGAGUUGUAAACUGCUUUUGUACAAGGGUAAACCUGAAUACGUGUAUUCCCCUGACAGUACUUUACGCAUAAGCAUCGGCUAACUCCGUGCCAGCAGCCGCAGUAAUACGGAGGAUCCAAGCGUUAUCCGGAUUUCUUGGGGUUAAAGGGGGCGUAGGCGGAUUUAUCAGUUAGCGGUGAAAUGCCCGGGCUUAACUCGGGCACUGCCGCUGAUACUGUGGAGCUAGAGAGUAGGUGCGGUAGGCGGAAUGUAUGGUGUAGCGGUGAAAUGCUUAGAGAUCAUACAGAACACCGAUUGCGAAGGCAGCUUACCGAGGUAGAUCUGACGUUGAGGCACGAAAGCGUGGGGAGCGAACAGGAUUAGAUACCCCUGUAGUC